GAUGAACGCUGGCGGCGUGCCUAAUACAUGCAAGUAGAACGCUGAAGGAGGAGCUUGCUCUUCUGGAUGAGUUGCGAACGGGUGAGUAACGCGUAGGUAACCUGCCUGGUAGCGGGGGAUAACUAUUGGAAACGAUAGCUAAUACCGCAUGACAACAGUUAUUGCAUGAUAACUGUUUAAAAGGGGCAACUGCUCCACUACCAGAUGGACCUGCGUUGUAUUAGCUAGUUGGUGAGGUAACGGCUCACCAAGGCGACGAUACAUAGCCGACCUGAGAGGGGGAGCGGCCACACUGAGACUGAGACACGGCCCAGACGGCCACGGGAGGCAGCAGGAGGGAAACGUCGGCAAGGGACGGAAGUCUGACCGAGCAACGCCGCGGGAGGGAAGAAGGUUGUCGGAUCGUAAAGCUCGGUUGUAAGGGAAGAACGAGUGUGAGAGUGGAAAGUUCACACUGUGACGGUAUCUUACCAGAAAGGGACGGCUAACUACGUG
Molecule: ribosomal RNA, 495 nt
Filed under: uncultured bacterium
Lineage: Bacteria
Description: partial 16S ribosomal RNA
Rfam family: Bacterial small subunit ribosomal RNA
Source: RNAcentral